Long non-coding RNA from Arachis stenosperma, 849 nucleotides. RefSeq lists it as uncharacterized. The transcript is spliced from 3 exons. Lineage: Eukaryota; Viridiplantae; Streptophyta; Magnoliopsida; Fabales; Fabaceae. The record is from RefSeq and is a predicted model, not a curated record.
ACCAAAACGUGGCCGUUUUUCCUCCCUCCCAAAAUCCCCCCUUCCUUCCCAAAAUCCCCAUUAGUCCCAGCUGGUAACUUAGGGAAAAAAGAAAAAGAAAAAAUUCCUAGCUAGCCAUCGAAACCCCUGUGUGUGGUGGUGGUCGUUUCACUCUUCUUCUUCUUCAACCUCCUUCGGAGCUCAACUCAGUCUCUCUCCACUGUGCCAUUUUCCUUUCUCCCAGCUACAACCAUCGCUGAAGGAAAAAACCCCACCAUCGCAGACCUGAAUUCUGUCUCUCUUCACCGCGUGAGCCAAGGGUCGUCGUUGCUUCUUUUCCUCCUUGCGAGGCUUGCUAUUGUUUCCCUAUUUCGCGUCGUGUGUCGCCCUCACGUCGUGUCUCUGCCUCACCGCGAGCUCCCUAUCACUGUGAGUUCACCCUGUGUACUCUUUUCAAGUUCAGCAGAAGCAACAGGGUUUGGGUGCUCAUGUAAAUAUUUUCAAGUUCAGCAAUAGGGUUUUAAUACCUUUGAUGCUAUUAAGUGGGUGGAGAAAGUUUGGAGGAAGCUGCAUGUGAGAAGAGAACAUGGGAGGAGACUGAUAUUGAAGUGGGAGAAGUUAUAUAUCACAGCUCUCAGUCACGGCCUGGAGGAAGACAUGAUGUGAAGAAAAUAUGUUCCAUACAAAUAUAAUAUGGGAUGGGUCUUACACUUUAGUUAUUUAAAUGUAAUUUUUUUAUGUGUUCUGUAUUUUUUGAAAAGAGACUUUACUCGGUAUUAAUUACAUGUAAUUGGAUACAUUACACUCUAUUUUGAUUUUUGUUGUUUAGACUAAAAAUUAAACAUAUCUAAUUUAUAAUGAAACUUUUAU